CUACGGGAGGCUCCAGUGAGGAAUAUUGCACAGUGGGGGGAACCCUGAUGCAGCAACGCCGCGUGGAGGAUGACGCAUUUCGGUGUGUAAACUCCUUUUAUAUGUCAAGAAAAUGACGGUAGCAUAUGAAUAAGCACCGGCUAACUCCGUGCCAGCAGCCGCGGUAAUACGGAGGGUGCAAGCGUUACUCGGAAUCACUGGGCGUAAAGGACGCGUAGGCGGGUUGGAAAGUCAGGUGUGAAAUCCUACAGCUUAACUGUAGAACUGCACUUGAAACUUCUAAUCUAGAGUAUGGGAGGGGGAGAUGGAAUUAGUGGUGUAGGGGUAAAAUCCGUAGAUAUCACUAGGAAUACCUAAAGCGAAGGCGACCUCCUGGAACAUUACUGACGCUAAGGCGUGAAAGCGUGGGGAGCAAACAGGAUUAGAUACCCCUGUAGUC
Molecule: ribosomal RNA, 439 nt
Filed under: uncultured bacterium
Lineage: Bacteria
Description: partial 16S ribosomal RNA
Rfam family: Bacterial small subunit ribosomal RNA
Source: RNAcentral